This is a non-coding RNA of Salmonella enterica subsp. enterica, 68 nucleotides long. NCBI's taxonomy places the organism in Bacteria, Pseudomonadati, Pseudomonadota, Gammaproteobacteria, Enterobacterales, Enterobacteriaceae. The record is from Rfam.
CACACACUUAAUUAAUUAAGUGUGUGNNNGCCGCAAUUCAGCAUUAGUAACCAAGGGGUCUGCUCGUG